UUUUUUUUUUUUUUUUUUUUUUUUACAGAAUCCCAUUUGAAAUGCACAAAGGGUGCCACUCACUGACUUCCACCCACCAUAGUUGGACAUGCUGAACUGGGAGGGGAGAAAACACAUUUUAUCCAGAUAAAUGCACUGCUCUUCCUUCCAUCCCCAUCCAAUCAGGCGAUUAUAGCAUCGGGCCAGAAUUUCCUCCCACGUUUUGUGCAUAAAACAUCAUUCUGCCACCAGCUGCUCACCAACAUUGUGUUGUCUCCCCAACAGACAAUACAAUGGCAAAACAGUUCAGCAGAGGGUGAUCUGCCAGAAGAACCAAUGAGAUGCAACCCCCUCCAACCAGCCUUCAUUAGGAAGCCGUUUUAUGUUUAGAAAAUAAACCCUCUGAAAUCACUGCCUUCCUGCAUCUGUGUUUCUACCUAGGAAAGAGAGAUGUUCUCUCAAUUCAUAGGUCCUGGGGUGUGGAAGGAACCAAAGAAGGGCUAAGUAUCUGCAAUGAAGGUCACAGGAGGCAGUUACCCAGUUUUUUGGCUGCACCCAUGGCACGUGGAAGUUCCCAAGCCAGGGAUGGAACCUGAGCCACAGUGGUGACAAGGCUAGAUCUCCAGCCCACUGAGCCACCAGAGUACUCCAACACUAGAGGUUUUUAUGCUUUCCACACUCACAGUAUUAAGAGUACUUUGGUAUUUGGUAUUAGUUAUUAGCAGUGUUUAGGGAUAUGAUCGCCUGCCCUGGGCAUCUAUCUUUUGUCAUAUCAGCUGUAUACUUUUUCUUCACUGUUACUCAUUUCCCUUCUGACCUGAUCAUACUCACCACCCACAUCACCUCAUCUACCAUCUCAUUCCUCCCCUUCAACCCUCACUGAGAAUCUACUGAGUUUAAGACGCUUUCUGUGAGAGAAAGGAGGGCUAGGAAGGAGGCAGUAUUUCAAAACAAGACUGGCAGUAGCAUCUUCUGCCUUGCAAGGAGGGGACAAAAUCGUGGGGACACACAUCUUACCACAUUGUCCUUGGCAGAGACGGGAGGGGCAGAAGCAAAGGAGAAAAUGAGGGAACGCACCCUGACCUACCGUGUCCCUGAAGGACAAGCUCAGGGCAAGACGGCUCAUCAUAUUCCAAGCACAUUAAGGAGAGGAUGAAUUAUGCUUCCUGGAGGUCAAGGGCCUGAAAAUGGAAGCUGAGUGCCUUUAACAGACAGUAGACGGAGCUCCAGGGUUCUGUGUCAUCCCCCAGCGCUUCUCCAAAAGAUCAAUAAAGUCGGCCACAUACCUACAAACUUUGUUGAGUUAGGAUUUGUCAAGAGGUGGGUCAGAGCAAAAAGACUGGACCUUACAGUGUGGACAGUGUUAACACGAAAAGGACAAUGAGAAAAUGGGUGGGCAGAAGUCAAUUAACAGAGGAAUAAAGGGGACCCAGAGAGCCUUGGCUUCCCCACUCUCACUGCAUCCCCUGGAAGUUUCAGCAUGGUUGAGGCGUGGAGAUGCCCAUGCCUCAUGGUGUAUGACAUAGAGUUCAAGAAAAUUUCAUCUGAAUAGUCAAGGAUUGGCCACUUUACCUGAUGUCUAUGCAUAUUCAUGAAUUCCCUACAGGGUUAGUCAUACUCCCACUCGAAGGGGUGAGAAAGCAGAGACUUAAGUUAUAUAAUUUGCUCAAGGUAACACAGUUCAAAGCAAAGCUAUAAGGAAGUCAGGCAUUUCUUUUUCUACAAUAUCAAGAUUUACUGAGUGUCUAAAUAUCAAAAUAUCAUAGGUUCCUUAAUUUACAUGACCAUUAUACAAUUUUGCUAGCUUCAUUUUAUGGAUGAGAACAAAAGGUAAUUGUGGUUAAGCAUUUUGAUAAAAACUGUAAUUUUUACUAUGAUUUUAAUUCAUUUCCUUUUCGUUGCCAAACUCUGCAGACUCGGAAAUGAGGGAUACCUAUUGUUUGGGCUGGUUGUCUGGCGUUCUGUUCUAGAAAGAAGGAUGUUUUAAGGGAGGUUCUAAGGUUUAAAAGUAAAGGAGAUGGGUGCCAUGAACUCUACUCCGAGAGACAGAGAAGGAAAACAGGAGUACAUACGGAUGUCACUGAUCAUCUCCAAAGAGUCUGGGACAUCAGCGAGAAAACAUGACAGAGGGGACUUUGGACCUAUUUGAAUCUUAAAAAAAAUGAAUAAAUAACUCUUCUAUGAUUAUAAAAUCUCUAAACCUAUUUGUAUAAUUAGAAAUAUUUGUAUGAAAGUGAAAAUGUUCCAUCUUGUUGUCUUAGCACACAUGAGAUGGUAAGAAGACACGCAGAUGAGAGCCUUCAGAAAGAGGGUAAACCCACAAAAGUUAAGGACCCGACAAACUCACAGGCAUUAGUGGUGGAGGGAGGGACAAUGGACUUCCUACCUGUCAUGAAAUGUUUUUCUGAGUCCAAUCAUUUUUUUUUAAGAUCCUAAGAGUUGGGGUCACUUUCACUGAGACUAGUUGAUUUUCAAAUGUAAACUCUGUCUGACAUUAAAAAAUAGGUUAAGUGAAUCCAAAAUUGUAUUAUUACAGUAAAUUAUGACACAUUUAUACAAAUGGGGUGUCUUUGAAACUACGGGAAGACCAUUAUUGCCAUCUUUCUCCAAGUUGCCUUAGCUCAUAGCCAAGCAGAAGUGAUGGCCAGCAGAGUCAGGGGUCAUACUCAGUCCUAGUUGACUGUCGCAAGUGGGCUCCUGGCCUCACUGCAUCAGGACGUCUGUCAGCUAAGCAGGAGGCUGUGCCUGAUGAUGGGGAGCACGUUCCCACGGUCAUCCUUGAACUUGUGAGCUGGGUGGGACAGCCUUGAAAUGAGUUCAACUGCAGGCACUGGGCUAGAACAAUUUAGGCAGCCCCUAUCACAUAGAUAUAAGAAUAAUUUAUCAGGGGGUUUCUGUCGUGGCGCAGCGGAAAUGAAUCCAACUAUGAACCACAAGUUUGUGGGUUCCAUCCCUGGCAUUUCUCAGUGGGUUAAGGAUUCAGCGUUGUGGAUCUGGUGUUGCUGUGGCUCUGGCAUAGGCUGACAGCAAUAGCUCUGAUUAGACCCCUAGCCUGGGAACCUCCACAGGCUGUGGGUGCAGCCAUAAAAAGAUAAA
This 3075-nucleotide long non-coding RNA is filed under the name Sus scrofa (pig). Its description in RNAcentral is "lncRNA (ENSSSCG00000061810.1)". The record is from RNAcentral. Lineage: Eukaryota; Metazoa; Chordata; Mammalia; Artiodactyla; Suidae.